This 1106-nucleotide long non-coding RNA is filed under the name Homo sapiens (human). RNAcentral describes it as "long non-coding RNA NONHSAT148856.1". Lineage: Eukaryota; Metazoa; Chordata; Mammalia; Primates; Hominidae. The record is from RNAcentral.
CAGAGCUAGCUGAGGUUUUAUUUUGGACACACAAAAAAGAAAAAAGCAAUUGAAUUGUUUUGUAGCUGGAGACAUGGGCAAGGGGGUAUCCCCAAGCAGUAAACUCCUCCGCAGGUGGGCUGAGGGCUAGGGCUGAGCCUCAGGUGGGUCUCCCGUUCCCUGUGCUCCCCUGCACAGCGGCCUCCCUCCCGGACUCUGGGGCAGCCGCAGGAGGGGCAGGCUGGGAGGGGCUGCCCUGGCUGUUCACUUGGGCAGGACGUCAAAGGACUCGGACACCGGACUCGGACACCGGCUUCCCGUUGCAGGUCUGGAUCUUCUUCACAACCACGGCCCUGGUGGAGCUGGUGCGGCUGAAGGAGCUGGCGCCCAUGCCAGAGCCAAAGCUGGAGCCCAGACCGUAGCUGAGGCCGGGGCUCGUGAGGCCCCCAUAGGCCGAGCUCAGCGCACCUGCAUAGCUGCUGGUGGUCUUCGUAUGGAUACUCCUGUUCUGCAUCCCAGACUCCAGCCGGCUCUCCUCGCCCUCUAGCAGCUUCCUGUAGGUGGCGAUCUCGAUCUCGAUGUCCAGGGCCAGCUUGACGUUCAUCAGCUCCUAGUACUCACGCAGCUGCCGCGCCAUGUCCUGCUUGGCCGGCUGGAGGGCGGCCUCCAGCUCGGACAGCUUGGCGUUGGCACCCUUAACUGCCAGCUCCUCAGGCUGCUCGGCAUCUGUGAUGGCGGCCUCCAGGGAAGCCCUCUGGCCUUUGAGGCACUCAGUCUCAGCCUGGAGCCCACUGAUGUUCCAGUUUAUCUCGGAGGUCUCAGUCUUUGUAUGCUGCACGUCAUCCCAGUGCCUCCCAGCCAGCGCCUGCAGCUUCUCAUACUUGAUCUGGAGGCAAACUUGUUGGUGGGGUUCUUGAUCUGCUCCUUCUCCUGGGUGCGCAUGGCCUGGAUGUUGAGAUCCACCUCCUAAGGGGGCUCAGCAGACUCUGGUUGACUGUGACAGCAGUGAUGCCUCCCAUGCCGCUGGUCCCACCAUAGCCUCUGCCCAGGCCAGCCCAGAAGCUGCUGCUGCCCAGUAGGGAGAAGCUCUAAGAGCUGAUGCAGGCACUGGGCCCACUCGUAUAGGA